This 76-nucleotide transfer RNA is filed under the name Tsukamurella tyrosinosolvens. Its description in RNAcentral is "tRNA-Trp". It matches the Rfam family "tRNA". From Rfam's summary of the family: Transfer RNA (tRNA) molecules are approximately 80 nucleotides in length. Their secondary structure includes four short double-helical elements and three loops (D, anti-codon, and T loops). Lineage: Bacteria; Bacillati; Actinomycetota; Actinomycetes; Mycobacteriales; Tsukamurellaceae. The record is from RNAcentral.
UCGGAUGUAGCUCAGCUGGUAGAGCAGCGGUCUCCAAAACCGCAGGUCGCAGGUUCGAACCCUGCCGUCCGGGCCA